UACGUAGGGGGCGAGCGUUGUCCGGAAUCAUUGGGCGUAAAGCGCGUGUAGGCGGCUUGGUAAGUCCGGCGUGAAAUCUUGGGGCUCAACCCCAAGCCUGCGCUGGAUACUGCCUCGCUCGAGUCCGGGAGAGGAGAGUGGAAUUCCCAGUGUAGCGGUGAAAUGCGCAGAUAUUGGGAAGAACACCGGUGGCGAAGGCGGCUCUCUGGAACGGUACUGACGCUGAGUCGCGAAAGCGUGGGGAGCGAACAGG
This 253-nucleotide ribosomal RNA is filed under the name uncultured bacterium. RNAcentral describes it as "partial 16S ribosomal RNA". It matches the Rfam family "Bacterial small subunit ribosomal RNA", at positions 524 to 776 of the family's 1533-position model. The record is from RNAcentral.